AGUCGAGCGGCAGCACGGGUACUUGUACCUGGUGGCGAGCGGCGGACGGGUGAGUAAUGCCUAGGAAUCUGCCUGGUAGUGGGGGAUAACGCUCGGAAACGGACGCUAAUACCGCAUACGUCCUACGGGAGAAAGCAGGGGACCUUCGGGCCUUGCGCUAUCAGAUGAGCCUAGGUCGGAUUAGCUAGUUGGUGAGGUAAUGGCUCACCAAGGCGACGAUCCGUAACUGGUCUGAGAGGAUGAUCAGUCACACUGGAACUGAGACACGGUCCANACUCCUACGGGAGGCAGCAGUGGGGAAUAUUGGACAAUGGGCGAAAGCCUGAUCCAGCCAUGCCGCGUGUGUGAAGAAGGUCUUCGGAUUGUAAAGCACUUUAAGUUGGGAGGAAGGGCAUUUACCUAAUACGUAAGUGUUUUGACGUUACCGACAGAAUAAGCACCGGCUAACUCUGUGCCAGCAGCCGCGGUAAUACAGAGGGUGCAAGCGUUAAUCGGAAUUACUGGGCGUAAAGCGCGCGUAGGUGGUUCGUUAAGUUGGAUGUGAAAUCCCCGGGCUCAACCUGGGAACUGCUUUCAAAACUGUCGAGCUAGAGUAUGGUAGAGGGUGGUGGAAUUUCCUGUGUAGCGGUGAAAUGCGUAUAUAU
This 644-nucleotide ribosomal RNA is filed under the name Pseudomonas sp. 01xTSA12A_E08. RNAcentral describes it as "bacterial SSU rRNA". It matches the Rfam family "Bacterial small subunit ribosomal RNA", at positions 60 to 697 of the family's 1533-position model. Lineage: Bacteria; Pseudomonadati; Pseudomonadota; Gammaproteobacteria; Pseudomonadales; Pseudomonadaceae. The record is from RNAcentral.